AGCACUUUGAGUGUGUUUGUACAACUGGUGGAUGAAGGCAUGAAAGACAGGUGCAAAAAUAAACUCUUUUGCAACCCAGAACUCACUGUUUGGUGAGAGUUUUGAUACAUAAAGAAGAAUGUG
Small nucleolar RNA from Nannospalax galili (Upper Galilee mountains blind mole rat), 123 nucleotides. Lineage: Eukaryota; Metazoa; Chordata; Mammalia; Rodentia; Spalacidae. The record is from Ensembl.